GCGGAUAUGGUGGAAUUGGUAGACACGUAGCCUUGAGGGGGCUAUGACUUAGGUCGUGAGAGUUCAAGUCUCUCUAUCCGCA
Molecule: transfer RNA, 82 nt
Filed under: Psychromonas ingrahamii 37
Lineage: Bacteria; Pseudomonadati; Pseudomonadota; Gammaproteobacteria; Alteromonadales; Psychromonadaceae
Rfam family: tRNA
About the family: Transfer RNA (tRNA) molecules are approximately 80 nucleotides in length. Their secondary structure includes four short double-helical elements and three loops (D, anti-codon, and T loops).
Source: Rfam by way of RNAcentral